GGAGGAAAGCAGGGGAUCGCAAGACCUUGCGCUUUUGGAGCGGCCGAUGUCUGAUUAGCUAGUUGGUGGGGUAAAUGCUUACCAAGGCGACGAUCAGUAGUUGGUCUGAGAGGACGACCAGCCACACUGGGACUGAGACACGGCCCAGACUCCUACGGGAGGCAGCAGUGGGGAAUUUUGGACAAUGGGCGCAAGCCUGAUCCAGCAAUGCCGUGUGAGUGAAGAAGGCCUUCGGGUUGUAAAGCUCUUUCAGUCGAGAAGAAAAGGUUGUGACUAAUACUCACAAUCCAUGACGGUAUCGACAGAAGAAGCACCGGCUAACUACGUGCCAGCAGCCGCGGUAAUACGUAGGGUGCGAGCGUUAAUCGGAAUUACUGGGCGUAAAGGGUGCGCAGGCGGUUCUGUAAGUCAGAUGUGAAAUCCCCGGGCUUAACCUGGGAAUUGCGUUUGAAACUACAAGGCUAGA
This 466-nucleotide ribosomal RNA is filed under the name uncultured ammonia-oxidizing bacterium. RNAcentral describes it as "bacterial SSU rRNA". It matches the Rfam family "Bacterial small subunit ribosomal RNA", at positions 198 to 645 of the family's 1533-position model. The record is from RNAcentral.